RNAcentral lists this ribosomal RNA (294 nucleotides) under Triticum aestivum (bread wheat). Its description in RNAcentral is "partial small subunit ribosomal RNA". Lineage: Eukaryota; Viridiplantae; Streptophyta; Magnoliopsida; Poales; Poaceae. The record is from RNAcentral.
AUGCACUCUGUUUGUGACGACGGUCAGAUGAAUUGUGCAAGGCACAUGCCAGCUUGUUCAUGUUCCGUGCACACGUUAAUGCUGCAAAAGGCCAAAAGCGAUGCACUGAUCAUGUUUCAGAUUAUCAAGAAUGAUGAGCUCCAAGAACCCAGUUCUGAAACUUUUGUAACUGUAUAUCUUGGUAAAUUGAGGGGCUCUAAUGUUGCAAUAAAAAGAAAUGGCAGAUGUUUCCCCGGGAAGCCAUCUCAGCGAGACAAAAUGCAUGUCAAUUCUCUCUUGAGAGGGGUCAAUUAG